GACGAACGCUGGCGGCGUGCUUAACACAUGCAAGUCGAACGGAAAGGCCCUGCUCUUGUGGGGUGCUCGAGUGGCGAACGGGUGAGUAACACGUGAGUAACCUGCCCUUGACUUUGGGAUAACUUCAGGAAACUGGGGCUAAUAACGGAUAGGAGCUCCUGCUGCAUGGUGGGGGUUGGAAAGUUUCGGCGGUUGGGGAUGGACUCGCGGCUUAUCAGCUUGUUGGUGGGGUAGUGGCUUACCAAGGCUUUGACGGGUAGCCGGCCUGAGAGGGUGACCGGCCACAUUGGGACUGAGAUACGGCCCAAACUCCUACGGGAGGCAGCAGUGGGGAAUAUUGCACAAUGGGCGGAAGCCUGAUGCAGCAACGCCGCGUGCGGGAUGACUGCCUUCGGGUUGUAGACCGCUUUCGCCUGUGACGAAGCGUGAGUGACGGUAAUGUGUAAAGAAGCACCGGCUAACUACGUG
RNAcentral lists this ribosomal RNA (468 nucleotides) under uncultured bacterium. Its description in RNAcentral is "partial 16S ribosomal RNA". It matches the Rfam family "Bacterial small subunit ribosomal RNA", at positions 28 to 507 of the family's 1533-position model. The record is from RNAcentral.